RNAcentral lists this long non-coding RNA (4169 nucleotides) under Homo sapiens (human). RNAcentral's name for it is "HSALNT0407755". The stretch from base 2597 to 2702 matches the Rfam family "mir-223 microRNA precursor family". Lineage: Eukaryota; Metazoa; Chordata; Mammalia; Primates; Hominidae. The record is from RNAcentral.
GAUAAACUCAAAGUGAAGGGUGGGGGCUUCUCAGCUCCUUCAUGGAGGUUGGACACCAAGGGCCCUUCAAAACACAGAAGCUUCUUGCUCACGGCAGAAAGCCCAAUUCCAUCUGGCCCCUGCAGGUUGGCUCAGCACUGGGGAAUCAGAGUCCCCUCCAUGACCAAGGCACCACUCCACUGACAGGUACUUGGCUCACUCUGAGUGUUCAGAGAUUCCUAGACACCUACUUACCCCUAAUUCUUCUGGUCUAUUCCCUCCAAUUCCCUCCAUAAAAACUGACCCAUCCUUUGCAUCAACAAUAGUGGCUUGAUGACGCUCUUCAGUAGAGGAUUUUGCAUUUCAUAUGGGGAAAAAUGAUGUUAUUCUAAGUAAUAUAACAGACCAAGAGAAGAGCUUUCAAAUUCCCUUAAUAUCAUCCCAUAUAGAUAUUUAUGUCUUCUUUCUAUGGGUCUGGUGAACAUUUCUCAACUGAAUGUGAUUUUCUUACAUACACUCCAUUGGAGAGGCAUACCAGUCUAGUUUCAGCUCAACCACUAACUCCUUCCAUUAAUACUGAAGCAAUGUUGUCUAUAAGGCUCCACAAAUUUCAAAGUACUAAUAAUUUUUAGCCCCUUUCAUGCCUCCUUUCCAGCCUUUCUGGAGGUGAAUAAAGUCAGAAAGUGCAUUCAAAAGGCUGUGAACACCUCCAGCUUAUCUAGGUCUUCUUACUGGAGCUGACAGCCAAUGAGUGUAAUGAUACAAAAAAGGUAACAAUCCAUUUCUUUUUCUCCUGCCAUCCCCAACUCAGACUCUGUUAAUCAGCUUGCUUGGCUGGCCUCCAACCAUAGGUCCAGGGGCUGAGACAAGGUCCUUUUGAGCUCCUAUGUGGGAGGCUCUGGAAAGCUUAGCAACACUUUCCAACAACUUUGCCAGGUAAGUAGGUAAGUCUCCUUGUUCUCAUUUCCAGAGAAGACAACUGAAACCCAAAGAAAGACUUGCCCAAGCCAUGAUUGGCUAGUUGAUGGCCAAGACAGCAUUAGAACACAAGUUUGUCGAUUCUGUCAUGCCAUAUUUGGUGACCAUGACUGCUGCUUUUGCUGCUGGGUGGAUUAGGCUGAAUUGGGUAGGUAGAAAAGGAAGUGAGGGAGUGAAAGAGCUUUAGUUUUGAGAUGACUGCCAGAACUUAAAUUGAAGGAGUAUGUUACCUUCUUAACAUUCAAUUAAAAGAAUAGAGCAAGAAAAGACACUGAUUGUUUUCUUGCUGAAAGACAAGGCUGAAUCCCUCUGUCUUACCUGGGCUGGGACAGGGCUUUCCGGCCUCAUGGGGGCAGUUUACCAUUUCUGGUAACCUUGUGAUGUUUGCCACUUUUCAUGACAAUAUUUAAUGUAGACCAGCUACCUGCUCACAGAUCAACUGCCACAGCUGGUAAGGGCAGUAAUUUGACACCAGCAACCUGGGAUUUUUAGCAACAGGAUCUGAUUGUUGCCAAGGGAAUUCUCCCAGAAGUUUCAGACCUGACCCUGCUCCUGGCAGCUUCCUUAUUGCCCUGGUGGCUUGUGGGUUCAGUGAUCCCAAAUGUUGCAUUACAAAGCUAUUGCCUGUUUUUGCCCUCUUUGUUGAUGUGUCUUCCCUUUCCCAGAGGGAUAUACAGAGAAGGGAGGCAAAAUAACCAAUGAGGAAAGCUGUAUAAGGCAUACUGCUGAACUGUAAAAAAUUUAUUGUAUAAACUUUACAAGUCUCCUCCCCAACAGGAGCCUUUGUUAUCUCAUUUAUAACCUAAGUGAGUGAGACUAGAUGAUCUUUAAGGGCACUUUAAUAGCUGCCAUUCUUGAGUCCCUAUGGGACAAGAGGAUCAUGUUAGGCAAGGCUGAGACCACAAGAAAUCAAUGUCACACCUGUCCAGAUCCUGCUAAAUCAAUUGCCAAUAGCUCUUUCUUUCAUUUUGGUCACACAACCACUACUUUUUGAGCAUUUGUUAUGUAUUGAAUACUGAACCAAAGGCUUUACAUGCAUUAUCUCCUGUCAUUCUCACAAUAACCUUAUGAGGUAGGUAUUAUACUUACAUACAUUUUGUGGGUGUAGAAAACUUGAGCUCAGAGAGGUGAAAUGAUGUAUCCAAGGUUGCCUAACUAGCUAAUGGAAGAACUAGGAUUUAAGCUCAUGUUUAACCUCAAAGCCUAUGUGCAUAACCACAACACUGAAAACACAGCUUGGGAGAAUUGAGAAGAGGGAGCAAGGAUGCUGACUCUAGGGUCUGGUACUUUCCUCAAGUCAGGGAGGCAGGAUGAUGACCAAAUUUUCCCCUCUCUGCUGCAUAGAGGAACCCACUGAAGCUUGGGACCCCUAGAAAUGCCAUAGCUACAGGACUCAGGCCUGAUGAGCUUCCAGCUGAGCACUGGGUGUCACUCGGGCUUUACCUGCUUAUCUUCAGGAUCUCUCUUCUGGUUAGGAACCCUAUGCCUAUUUUGCUCACUUCCCUAUUCUGGUGCUUUGGUUGGUCCUUUGAGCAAGAUCCCCGGGGCUAAGGGUGUGACUUCAUCAUUCCUUUCUCUCUCUUUCCCUCUAGGGUCACAUCUCCCAGGAAGAUCUCACUUCCCCACAGAAGCUCUUGGCCUGGCCUCCUGCAGUGCCACGCUCCGUGUAUUUGACAAGCUGAGUUGGACACUCCAUGUGGUAGAGUGUCAGUUUGUCAAAUACCCCAAGUGCGGCACAUGCUUACCAGCUCUAGGCCAGGGCAGAUGGGAUAUGACGAAUGGACUGCCAGCUGGAUACAAGGAUGCUCACCAAGCACCAAGUUCUCACAAGUUAUUUUAUGUGACUUUGCAGGAACUGAGGCAUUAUAUCUGAGGACACCAGGGGAAAAGUGUGGCAUCUCAGGGAAAUACAGCCCUGGGCUGUGUCUACACACACCAUGAGAGUGCUGAUGGGGGCGCAAUAGUCUUGAAAAUGUAUAAAGUGUCCAGGAAUGGAAGUGCUCUUUGAUUCAUUAUUAUUUUCUUCCUUCAUAUUCCCCUCCCAGAGUCUCCUAUCUAGGACAUCAGCAUUCUCACACAAGCCUAAUGGCUUAUCUGAGUAAGCAGGGCUUAGAAAUUCACUUUCUUGAUACUCAGUCUUGCCUUCUAAACACUCCUUGAUCUUGCCUACCUCUCCCCUUUUCCACAUGUCUUUUCCUGUAGGAACACUUUCUCCAUUUAUUCCUGCCUAUCCAAUUCUUCCCUAUAUUUCCUGGACCAGCUAAAGUCCAGUGUUUCCAGAGACUUUUGAAAGUCAACUUACACUUUUUCCUUCUUCAUUCACAAAGCUCUUCUUCCCUGGGCCCUGGUAUGUAUGCCUUUCUCUCCUACUGUCUAAUAGCACCUCGUAAAUUGUCAAUGAACUUUUCUAAGGGGUAUUCUUGAAUUCCCAACUAGAUUGUGAGCUUCUGGAAGACAAGGCUAUGUCUUUGAUUGUUGUCUCCCCUACCACAGCCCAGUACUUUAGUUACAGAAAAUAAUAAAUAUUUACUGAUUGAUUGACUUUCCUCUUGUCCACUAGCUUUAGGUUUGGGGGCCAAAUUCUACCCUGGAUUUUGAAAAAUUCAAACUGUGAACACCACAAUGUUAUAGAGCAUAUGAGGUAGUAGCCAGCAUGAAGGAUGUUUUCUUCCUGAGAAACAGUGUCAAGGGCUGGAGGAAGAGGGCAAAAUAGCAGACUCAGAGGGCAAAUAAAUUUUGGUAUUACUUGGUCACACAAGGUUAUACAGGUGUUUUCUUGUAGGAUUUUUCAGAGCCUUUAAUAGUCUAAUGUUGCAUUGAGAAUCUCAAAGAGGAAACCAUAGAAUGAGGCAUUUGCCAUACCUAUCUGAUCAUGAAUUUUCUUUUCCCCCACAGCCUUCUCCUGUGUCAAUGUCCAAUGAAGCACGAUUUGGGAAACUGUCCUAGAGAAACUUUAUACCUUCCCGCUCUUCUGGAGAUCUUUUCCUCUUUUCAUUCAUCUACUUUCCCCAACCAGCCAUCUGCCUAAGAAAGGUCACAUGUUAUCAUCUCAUUUUUGUUUAGCCUCUGCAGCUGUGGACUAUCUUUAUUACAUAGGAAUUCUUUACUAGCUUGUCCUGUAUUUAAAAAUAUUCUAAGUUUUGAGGCAAAGAAGAUCCAGAUGCUGCAAUAAAUAUAUGCACUGAGGAGUUCACAGGCCUGACUUUUGGUCU